UAUGGAGAUUUGGCCUUUGUCUGGCGGUAAUCAAAAGAAGAAGAAGGAUUUGAUUUGAUAAUCAAUUAAACAACAAAAAUCAUGAAAGCAUUGUGCAUAGACUUCCAUGCGUGAUUGCAGAGAAUUCGAAUUUGAAAUAUUGAUAAGAAAAAUAUCGCUAAGUCAAUAACUAGUUGAUAACUUGAUAAUUCAAUCCAAUUUAAUUAUAGUUAUUUUCAUCAAAAAAAAAAAAUUCAUUUUGUCAUGUUAAAAUUUGACACCCUACAAAAUCACCAAAUCAAUUUUGUUACAAGGACAUAUGAUAAUUACUACAUGGUUAAAGAAAAUAAAAAAAAUUAAUGGCCUUUAAAAAGUUAAGCACAUCUCUGAAUGAGAUGUCAAAAACUCCACAUCAGCAACAACGAUAAAAAAAGACAACAAUGGGGUUUUCCAACCAAAUUGCCAAUUUUUAUGUGACAUGACAUGGAAUGGCAACUAAGGGAGCUUCAAAUCUAUAUUUAGGGAGUAAUAAAUGUUUUUUUUAUAAUUUUUUUUUAUUAUCUUUUGUUUUAAAAAUACUAAUUUCACUUAUGAAAAGUAAAUAAUAGUUUAAAUUUGACGUAUCGAGUGGAGAAAUUUUUUUAUCAAAAGAUCAAUGUGCCACAUAAGCCUUCAAUUCUAAGUUUUAUGUUUAAAAUUGGCAUUUUCUUUGGAGAUGGUCUAAAAUGUUUACAAAGCUAAAGAUAUCACAUCGUUUUUGUCAGCAUUUCUCUUAAUUUCAAAUGGAUACCUCUACAAUGGCACAACACACAUUAUCUAGUAGAUUCUAAUUGUUGUGAGGUGCUACUCAAUACUACAAUUUAGUGGUAUUCCUCUUUAUUUGUAAGUGAGAGGUCUUAGGUUCGAUUCUCGCCACAGAAGAAUAUGAACCACGUUAUUACUAACCCAUUAUGAGACUUAACCCACUCCCUCACUCCCUUAGUGUAGAUAAUAUCCUUAAAAAAAAAAUUUUAAAAAUUGUGCUACUCACAAAUAAUAUAUAGGACGCACGAAAUUAUAUAUGAAAGAUGAUAAUAUCAUUUUAUCAAAAAAAAAAAGUUUGCUACUCACAAAUAAUAUGUAGGUCGCAUGAAAUUAUAUAUGAAAGAUUAUCGUGCUCACAUAAUAAUUCACGAAUUUAUAUAUAUGCAUUUGUUGACCUUAGAAACUACUUAGCCUACCUGGCGCACAAGCUGAAUAGCUAAUGGGCUAGCUACAUCCUUCGGUUCAAUGCAGGGUGUGCCAACUCGAAGAUCAAGCUUGGUCGGUGAGUAAAAUGAAUGUGGUGGUGGUGAAUGCGCUCAACUUCUAUAUCUAGGCAACUGCGGCUGAGGAAGAUACACAUAUCGGCCUCUGGGUUCUAGAACCUGAAUAUAAGGUUGCUUAGUUCACUAUGAAGCUUAUGAUCUCUUGCACCGGGUUCAGCUGCCUCAACUAUAUUUGUAAGAAUAUAAAUGCAUUGAAUCGGUAAAGAACUUUAUAGACACAAAUACUCAAAAGAGAUAAGUGUCUUGAUUGUGAACAUGGUUCGGCCGUCAGAAUGCCGAACUUUGAAGUGUACUUUAGAAUAUCCAAUCAUAAAAAGGUUCGGCUUUCAAUGUGUCGAACUCUAGGUAGCCUGGUAACACCCCAACUCGUCAAGAGGCUAAUGGGAUGACCUCUUCCAACAAAGACUCAUGAAUUCCUUGUUGACAGGGACUUGGAUAGAUAAUUAACCAAACUCGAAACUGAGCUAGUGCUAUUUAUCCAAACUGAAAAUGUCGCCGGUUGUCUCUACAAUGCUGUUUAUUCUAAUUGAAGGUGUCUUGGCAAAGUUCGGAUGUCAGUUUUUUUCUCAAAGUUUUAAGAGUAGUUCACAUAGAAUGAGAAUUUCGUAGGACAAAUUUGUGUGGUGAGUUGAAGAUCUCUUUGUGUUAGAGGAGCACUUGUAUUUAUAAUGUGAACGUACUUUGAUGAACACACUGUGAAUUUGCUGCCAUGACCUGUAAGUACCCAAUAUGUCAUUAAAUAAUAGGAGUAGGAUUAUCUCCCCUCCUAUUCCCAUCUCAUUCCCUCCUCGCCUCUCACACACUCAUUUUUGUCUUAUUGUCUCUAUAUAAAAAUCAAUAUAAGAUGUUAAAGUAGCUUAAUCGUAACCGUUCAAGUAGGAGGAGAAAGAAGAGAAAAGAGAUUAGAUGGGGAAAGAAUUCUCAUGCUAAAUAAUAUUCCUAUGAAUAUUAUUUCAAAGCAAGAAGAGUCAUAUCAUCCCACUGCCAACUGAUGGAUGUAGACUUCUCGCACAUGUUCUAGAAGUCAAGUACAUGUACACAUCUUCGGAUAAAAGGACAUGGAUCCUCUCUGGAUCCAGUUGUCCUAAUCCACCUAGUCAAAUCAUCCAAACCAUUGAAUUUUGA
RNAcentral lists this long non-coding RNA (2411 nucleotides) under Malus domestica (apple). RNAcentral's name for it is "long non-coding RNA (MDOM_LNC012071)". The record is from RNAcentral. Lineage: Eukaryota; Viridiplantae; Streptophyta; Magnoliopsida; Rosales; Rosaceae.